GACGAACGCUGGCGGCGUGCUUAACACAUGCAAGUCGAACGAAGAGCGAUGGAAGCUUGCUUCUAUCAAUCUUAGUGGCGAACGGGUGAGUAACGCGUAAUCAACCUGCCCUUCAGAGGGGGACAACAGUUGGAAACGACUGCUAAUACCGCAUACGAUCUAAUCUCGGCAUCGAGGAUAGAUGAAAGGUGGCCUCUACAUGUAAGCUAUCACUGAAGGAGGGGAUUGCGUCUGAUUAGCUAGUUGGAGGGGUAACGGCCCACCAAGGCGAUGAUCAGUAGCCGGUCUGAGAGGAUGAACGGCCACAUUGGGACUGAGACACGGCCCAGACUCCUACGGGAGGCAGCAGUGGGGAAUCUUCCGCAAUGGACGAAAGUCUGACGGAGCAACGCCGUGUGAGCGAUGACGGCCUUCGGGUUGUAAAGCUCUGUUAAUCGGGACGAAAGGCCUUCUUGCGAAUAGUGAGAAGGAUUGACGGUACCGGAAUAGAAAGCCACGGCUAACUACGUG
RNAcentral lists this ribosomal RNA (510 nucleotides) under uncultured bacterium. RNAcentral's name for it is "partial 16S ribosomal RNA". It matches the Rfam family "Bacterial small subunit ribosomal RNA", at positions 28 to 507 of the family's 1533-position model. The record is from RNAcentral.